CAGUCGAACGAAGCACUCUAUUUGAUUUUCUUCGGAAAUGAAGAUUUUGUGACUGAGUGGCGGACGGGUGAGUAACGCGUGGGUAACCUGCCUCAUACAGGGGGAUAACAGUUGGAAACGACUGCUAAUACCGCAUAAGCGCACAGGAUCGCAUGGUCCGGUGUGAAAAACUCCGGUGGUAUGGGAUGGACCCGCGUCUGAUUAGCCAGUUGGCAGGGUAACGGCCUACCAAAGCGACGAUCAGUAGCCGACCUGAGAGGGUGACCGGCCACAUUGGGACUGAGACACGGCCCAAACUCCUACGGGAGGCAGCAGUGGGGAAUAUUGCACAAUGGGGGAAACCCUGAUGCAGCGACGCCGCGUGAGCGAAGAAGUAUUUCGGUAUGUAAAGCUCUAUCAGCAGGGAAGAAGAAUGACGGUACCUGACUAAGAAGCACCGGCUAAAUACGUGCCAGCAGCCGCGGUAAUACGUAUGGUGCAAGCGUUAUCCGGAUUUACUGGGUGUAAAGGGAGCGCAGGCGGUGCGGCAAGUCUGAUGUGAAAGCCCGGGGCUCAACCCCGGUACUGCAUUGGAAACUGUCGUACUAGAGUGUCGGAGGGGUAAGUGGAAUUCCUAGUGUAGCGGUGAAAUGCGUAGAUAUUAGGAGGAACACCAGUGGCGAAGGCGGCUUACUGGACUGUAACUGACACUGAGGCUCGAAAGCGUGGGGAGCAAACAGGAUUAGAUACCCUGGUAGUCCACGCCGUANACGAUGAAUACUAGGUGUCGGGGCNCAUAAGAGCUUCGGUGCCGCAGCAAACGCAAUAAGUAUUCCACCUGGGGAGUACGUUCGCAAG
This 837-nucleotide ribosomal RNA is filed under the name uncultured bacterium. Its description in RNAcentral is "bacterial SSU rRNA". It matches the Rfam family "Bacterial small subunit ribosomal RNA", at positions 59 to 892 of the family's 1533-position model. The record is from RNAcentral.